Molecule: ribosomal RNA, 882 nt
Filed under: uncultured bacterium
Lineage: Bacteria
Description: bacterial SSU rRNA
Rfam family: Bacterial small subunit ribosomal RNA
Source: RNAcentral
GAGUUUGAUCAUGGCUCAGGAUGAACGCUAGCGGCAGGCUUAACACAUGCAAGUCGAGGGCAGCGGGAUGUAGCAAUACAUUGCCGGCGACCGGCGCAAGGGUGCGUAACGCGUGAGCAAAUGCCCGUCACAGGAGGAUAAACCAUGGAAACGUGGCCUAAUACUCCAUAGUAUAUCAGAAGGCAUCUUUUUGAUAUUAAAGCUUCGGUGGUGACGGAUUGGCUCGCGUGACAUUAGCUAAUGGAGAGGUAACGGCUCACCAUGGCGACGAUGUCUAGGGGAACUGAGAGGUUAAUCCCCACACUGGUACUGAGACACGGACCAGACUCCUACGGGAGGCAGCAGUGAGGAAUAUUGGACAUGGAUGGAAAUCUGAUCCAGCCAUGCCGCGUGCAGGAUGACGGCCCUAUGGGUCUUAAAUGCUUUUGUAUGGGAGCAAUAAGUCUUACGUGUAAGAUGAUGAGAGUACCAUACGAAUAACAUCGGCUAACUCCGUGCCAGCAGCCGCGGUAAUACGGAGGAUGCAAGCGUUAUCCGGAUUAUUGGGUUUAAAGGGUGCGUAGGCGGUUUUGUAAGUCAGUGGUGAAAUCUCCGGGCUCACCCGGAACGUGCCAUUGAUACUGCAGGACUGGAAUGUGGAUGCCGUUUGCGGAAUGUGUGUGUAGCGGUGAAAUGCAUAGAUAUCACACAGAACACCGAUUGCGAACGCAGCAGACGAAUCAUGAUUGACGCUGAGGCACGAAAGUGUGGGGAUCAAACAGGAUUAGAUACCCUGGUAGUCACACAGUAAACGAUGAUGACUCGCUAUCGGCGAUAUACAGUCGGUGGUCAAGAGAAAUCAUAGUCAUCCACCUGGGGAGUACGACCGCAAGGUUGAAACUC